RNAcentral lists this non-coding RNA (160 nucleotides) under Alphaproteobacteria bacterium. RNAcentral describes it as "6S RNA". It matches the Rfam family "6S / SsrS RNA". Rfam says of the family: E. coli 6S RNA was the first non coding RNA to be sequenced, but its function was unknown until recently. It consists of 184 nucleotides that fold into an extended hairpin structure with a large single-stranded internal bulge. The 6S RNA specifically associates with RNA polymerase holoenzyme containing the sigma70 specificity factor. The record is from RNAcentral. Lineage: Bacteria; Pseudomonadati; Pseudomonadota; Alphaproteobacteria.
CGGGUACUGCUCGGUUCGACCGCUCCAUCUAUCCCUGGGGCCAAUAUCGAUCCUCUUGGGAGCUGUCCCUGACCGGAGCCGUGGUUCCGGACACACGGUGCCCACCUGCAUCAGCAGGCCACAGAGGGUACGAAUGGACGGACGGCCGUGGCGGGCCCGU